This 78-nucleotide transfer RNA is filed under the name Vulcanisaeta moutnovskia 768-28. RNAcentral's name for it is "tRNA-Tyr (GTA) (tRNA-Tyr-GTA-1-1)". It matches the Rfam family "tRNA". From Rfam's summary of the family: Transfer RNA (tRNA) molecules are approximately 80 nucleotides in length. Their secondary structure includes four short double-helical elements and three loops (D, anti-codon, and T loops). The record is from RNAcentral. Lineage: Archaea; Thermoproteati; Thermoproteota; Thermoprotei; Thermoproteales; Thermoproteaceae.
CCCCCGGUAGCUCAGCGGUUAGAGCGGCCGGCUGUAGACCGGCAGGCCCCGGGUUCGAAGGUCCCGGCCGGGGGACCA